GCUGGGUGUGGUGGCGCACACCUGUAGUCCCAGCUACUCGGGAGGCUGAGGCAGGAGAAUCACUUGAACCCGGGAGGCAGAGGUUGCAGUGAGCCGAGAUCGUGCCACUGCACUCCAGCCUGGGUGACAGAGCGAGACACUGUCUCAA
RNAcentral lists this non-coding RNA (148 nucleotides) under Homo sapiens (human). The record is from Rfam by way of RNAcentral. Lineage: Eukaryota; Metazoa; Chordata; Mammalia; Primates; Hominidae.